AUUGAACGCUGGCGGCAGGCUUAACACAUGCAAGUCGAGCGGGGGAAGGUAGCUUGCUACCGGACCUAGCGGCGGACGGGUGAGUAAUGCUUAGGAAUCUGCCUAUUAGUGGGGGACAACAUCUCGAAAGGGAUGCUAAUACCGCAUACGUCCUACGGGAGAAAGCAGGGGAUCUUCGGACCUUGCGCUAAUAGAUGAGCCUAAGUCGGAUUAGCUAGUUGGUGGGGUAAAGGCCUACCAAGGCGACGAUCUGUAGCGGGUCUGAGAGGAUGAUCCGCCACACUGGAACUGAGACACGGCCCAGACUCCUACGGGAGGCAGCAGUGGGGAAUAUUGGACAAUGGGGGGAACCCUGAUCCAGCCAUGCCGCGUGUGUGAAGAAGGCCUUAUGGUUGUAAAGCACUUUAAGCGAGGAGGAGGCUCUUUUGGUUAAUACCCAGAAUGAGUGGACGUUACUCGCAGAAUAAGCACCGGCUAACUCUGUGCCAGCCGCCGCUGUAA
Molecule: ribosomal RNA, 501 nt
Filed under: uncultured bacterium
Lineage: Bacteria
Description: partial 16S ribosomal RNA
Rfam family: Bacterial small subunit ribosomal RNA
Source: RNAcentral